This 305-nucleotide ribosomal RNA is filed under the name uncultured bacterium. RNAcentral's name for it is "bacterial SSU rRNA". It matches the Rfam family "Bacterial small subunit ribosomal RNA", at positions 28 to 334 of the family's 1533-position model. The record is from RNAcentral.
GACGAACGCUGGCGGCGUGCUUAACACAUGCAAGUCGGGCGAUGAAGCUCCUUCGGGAGUGGAUUAGCGGCGGACGAGUGAGUAACACGUGGGUAACCUGCCUCAUAGAGGGGAAUAGCCUUCGAAGGAAGAUUAAUACCGCAUAAGAUUGUAGUACCGCAUGGUACAGCAAUUAAAGGAGUAAUCCGCUAUGAGAUGGACCCGCGUCGCAUUAGCUAGUUGGUGAGGUAACGGCUCACCAAGGCGACAAUGCGUAGCCGACCUGAGAGGGUGAUCGGCCACAUUGGGACUGAGACACGGCCCAG